This 484-nucleotide ribosomal RNA is filed under the name uncultured bacterium. RNAcentral describes it as "partial 16S ribosomal RNA". It matches the Rfam family "Bacterial small subunit ribosomal RNA", at positions 30 to 507 of the family's 1533-position model. The record is from RNAcentral.
AUUGAACGCUGGCGGCAGGCCUAACACAUGCAAGUCGAGCGGAUGAAGGGAGCUUGCUCCUGGAUUCAGCGGCGGACGGGUGAGUAAUGCCUAGGAAUCUGCCCGGUAGUGGGGGAUAACGUCCGGAAACGGGCGCUAAUACCGCAUACGUCCUGAGGGAGAAAGUGGGGGAUCUUCGGACCUCACGCUAUCAGAUGAGCCUAGGUCGGAUUAGCUAGUUGGUGGGGUAAAGGCCUACCAAGGCGACGAUCCGUAACUGGUCUGAGAGGAUGAUCAGUCACACUGGAACUGAGACACGGUCCAGACUCCUACGGGAGGCAGCAGUGGGGAAUAUUGGACAAUGGGCGAAAGCCUGAUCCAGCCAUGCCGCGUGUGUGAAGAAGGUCUUCGGAUUGUAAAGCACUUUAAGUUGGGAGGAAGGGCAGUAAGUUAAUACCUUGCUGUGUUGACGUUACCAGCAGAAUAAGCACCGGCUAACUUCGUG